This 71-nucleotide transfer RNA is filed under the name Sphingobacteriaceae bacterium. RNAcentral describes it as "tRNA-Val". It matches the Rfam family "tRNA". From Rfam's summary of the family: Transfer RNA (tRNA) molecules are approximately 80 nucleotides in length. Their secondary structure includes four short double-helical elements and three loops (D, anti-codon, and T loops). Lineage: Bacteria; Pseudomonadati; Bacteroidota; Sphingobacteriia; Sphingobacteriales; Sphingobacteriaceae. The record is from RNAcentral.
AAGAGAUUAGCUUAGUGGUAAAGCACCUAUCUUACACGUAGGCUACAGGUGUUCGAUUCACCUAUUUCUUA